UACGUAGGUGGCAAGCGUUGUCCGGAUUCACUGGGCGUAAAGAGCGCGCAGGCGGUGGGUCAAGUCGCGUGUGAAAGCCCCCGGCUCAACUGGGGAGGGUCACGCGAUACUGAUCGACUGGAAGGCAGGAGAGGGUAGUGGAAUUCCCGGUGUAGUGGUGAAAUGCGUAGAUGUCGGGAGGAACACCAGUGGCGAAGGCGACUCCCUGGCCUGUUCUUGACGCUGAGGCGCGAAAGCUAGGGGAGCAAACGGG
RNAcentral lists this ribosomal RNA (253 nucleotides) under uncultured bacterium. RNAcentral describes it as "partial 16S ribosomal RNA". It matches the Rfam family "Bacterial small subunit ribosomal RNA", at positions 524 to 776 of the family's 1533-position model. The record is from RNAcentral.